This 253-nucleotide ribosomal RNA is filed under the name uncultured bacterium. RNAcentral's name for it is "partial 16S ribosomal RNA". It matches the Rfam family "Bacterial small subunit ribosomal RNA", at positions 524 to 776 of the family's 1533-position model. The record is from RNAcentral.
UACAGAGGUCUCAAGCGUUGUUCGGAAUUACUGGGCGUAAAGGGCGCGUAGGCGGCAAGGCAAGUCAGGUGUGAAAGCCCCGAGCUUAACUCGGGAAUUGCAUCUGAAACUGCUGUGCUUGAGUUCUGGAGGGGGUAGUGGAAUUCCCAGUGUAGCGGUGAAAUGCGUAGAUAUUGGGAGGAACACCUGCGGCGAAGGCGGCUACCUGGACAGAAACUGACGCUGAGGCGCGAAAGCUAGGGGAGCGAACGGG